GGCCUAACACAUGCAAGUCGAACGGUAGCACAGAGAGCUUGCUCUCGGGUGACGAGUGGCGGACGGGUGAGUAAUGUCUGGGAAACUGCCUGAUGGAGGGGGAUAACUACUGGAAACGGUAGCUAAUACCGCAUAACGUCGCAAGACCAAAGAGGGGGACCUUCGGGCCUCUUGCCAUCAGAUGUGCCCAGAUGGGAUUAGCUAGUAGGUGGGGUAACGGCUCACCUAGGCGACGAUCCCUAGCUGGUCUGAGAGGAUG
Molecule: ribosomal RNA, 259 nt
Filed under: Anophryoides haemophila
Lineage: Eukaryota; Ciliophora; Oligohymenophorea; Philasterida; Glauconematidae
Description: partial Bacterial small subunit ribosomal RNA
Rfam family: Bacterial small subunit ribosomal RNA
Source: RNAcentral